AGAGUUUGCUUCUGGCUCAGGAUGAACGUUGGCGGUGUGCCUAAUACAUGCAAGUCGAACGGUGACGAUUUUGUAGCAAUACGAAUGAAAUCAUAGUGGCGAACGGGUGAGUAACGCGUUGGUGAUCUGCCUCGAAGUGUGGAAUAACUUCCCGAAAGGGUAGCUAAUACCGCAUAGUCUCUCAAGGUUUAGAAAAUUGAGAGUAAAGGAUUUAUUCGCUUCGAGAGGAGCCUGCGUCCCAUCAGCUAGUUGGUAGGGUAAUAGCCUACCAAGGCAAUGACGGGUAGGGGACCUGAGAGGGUGGCCCCCCACAAUGGAACUGAAACACGGUCCAUACACCUACGGGUGGCAGCAGUAGGGAAUAUUAGAAAUGGGCGAAAGCCUGAUCUAGCAACACCGCGUGUGCGAUGAAGGCCUUCGGGUUGUAAAGCACUUUUUGGAGGGAAUAGGAAGGAAGGUACCUCCAGAAUAAGUCUCGGCUAACUACGUGCCAGCAGCCGCGGUAACACGUAGGAGGCAAACGUUAUCCGGAUUCACUGGGCGUAAAGCGCGUGUAGGUGGUUCUGUAAGUAGGGCGUGAAAGCUCCCGGCUCAACUGGGAGAGGCCGUACUAAACUGCAGAGCUAGAGGAUGGUAGAGGGAGGUGGAAUUCCAGGUGUAGUGGUGAAAUGCGCAGAUAUCUGGAGGAACACCAGUGGCGAAGGCGGCCUCCUGGACCAUUCCUGACACUCAGACGCGAAAGCUAGGGUAGCAAACGGAAGUAGAGACUCCGGUAGUCCUAGCCCUAAACGAUGCAGACUAGGCGUCGGCGGUUUAAUCACCGUCGGUGUCCAAGCUAACGCGAUAAGUCUGCCGCCUGAGGACUACGGCCGCAAGGCUAAAACUCAAAGGAAUUGACGGGUCCCCGCACAAGCAGCGGAGCGUGUGGUUUAAUUCGAUGCUCCGCGAAGAACCUUACCUGGGUUUGAACUGUGCUUGACAGGUGUAGAGAUACGCUCUCCCUUCGGGGCAAGUACAGAGGUGCUGCAUGGUUGUCGUCAGCUCGUGUCGUGAGAUGUUGGGUUAAGUCCCGCAACGAGCGCAACCCCUACUCUCUGUUGCUAUCAGGUAAUGCUGGGCACUCUGAGGGAACUGCCGGUGACAAACCGGAGGAAGGUGGGGACGACGUCAAAUCAUCACGGCCCUUAUGACCUGGGCUACACACGUAAUACAAUGGCCGUUUAACAGCAGGAAGCGAAGCCGCGAGGCGGAGCAAAACCCCAAAAACGGUCUCAGUUCGGAUUGCAGGCUGCAACUCGCCUGCAUGAAGUCGGAAUUGCUAGUAAUCGCAGAUCAGCAUGCUGCGGUGAAUAAAAGGCCGGGUCUUGCACA
This 1371-nucleotide ribosomal RNA is filed under the name uncultured bacterium. RNAcentral's name for it is "bacterial SSU rRNA". It matches the Rfam family "Bacterial small subunit ribosomal RNA". The record is from RNAcentral.